CUGAUGUGAAGCUGAAACUGAUGCAAUAUCAAAGAAUGGACACUGUACUUUAACCUGAUACCGGACUUCUUGUUUGCAGUUUGCUUUUACAGCACUGUCAGCACAGCUAUGGAGAGGGGCCGAGCUUCAACAUCCACUGAUCCUCAGAGCCACUGAAAGCCUGUGCCUGGAGAAUCCCCUGGCCCACUCCUGGCUUGUGCCAGGGCACAGACCAACCUCGAGGCUUUGCUAAUGGCUUCGGAAUGGGGUCUGCUACCAGUCACUGGCAUGGCAUGAGGAACCCCACGGCCUUCCUCGGGCUGCUGAGCACCACUGCGGGCUGAAAAUGCUGCGGCUGCUCACGUGUGUCCCAGGGGAGCUGUGACCGAGCUGAUGUUUGCACCUUGCCCAGCGUCCUGCAUAGGCAAGUAUGUUGCCCUGGAAGGCAGAUUACCAAAUCUGAGAAGCUGCUGGUCUUUAAAGCCCAGCCUGCUGUGCCGGGGCUGCGACCGCCUGGGGAGGGCUGCAGGCGGGGGAUACGCCGUUUGCUCUGGGACAAAGCUGCGGCUGGGAGAGCAGCCAGCGCGGUGAGCUGCCAUCGCAGGGCGGGAUGCUGGGCUCGGAGCGUGGGAGGGAUGAGUGGGCGCGGAGAGGGCUCGUAAUGCCUUACUGGACCCAUGAGCCUCUGAUGCCCGUUCUGAGACACGGGGUUUCUUGUCUUUCACAAGAUGAAGGAGAAUAAUCGAAUGAGCGCUUUAGCGUGCUAGACAUUUAACAACAUGCUGAAUUUUGAGUACUGCAGUAAA
Molecule: long non-coding RNA, 785 nt
Organism: Aquila chrysaetos chrysaetos
Lineage: Eukaryota; Metazoa; Chordata; Aves; Accipitriformes; Accipitridae
Exons: 3
Source: RefSeq, a predicted model, not a curated record